GGUUCUAUAGUGUAGUGGUUAUCACUCCGGAUUUUGAUUCGUCUUCAAGCUUUCCGGCGACCCCGGUUCGAACCCGGGUAGGACCU
Transfer RNA from Exophiala dermatitidis, 86 nucleotides. It matches the Rfam family "tRNA". Rfam says of the family: Transfer RNA (tRNA) molecules are approximately 80 nucleotides in length. Their secondary structure includes four short double-helical elements and three loops (D, anti-codon, and T loops). Further hydrogen bonds mediate the characteristic L-shaped molecular structure. tRNAs have two regions of fundamental functional importance: the anti-codon, which is responsible for specific mRNA codon recognition, and the 3' end, to which the tRNAs corresponding amino acid is attached (by aminoacyl-tRNA synthetases). tRNAs cope with the degeneracy of the genetic code in two manners: having more than one tRNA (with a specific anti-codon) for a particular amino acid; and 'wobble' base-pairing, i.e. permitting non-standard base-pairing at the 3rd anti-codon position. The record is from Rfam. NCBI's taxonomy places the organism in Eukaryota, Fungi, Ascomycota, Eurotiomycetes, Chaetothyriales, Herpotrichiellaceae.